RNAcentral lists this ribosomal RNA (486 nucleotides) under Tylopus sp. 3 DAN-2022b. RNAcentral describes it as "partial large subunit ribosomal RNA". It matches the Rfam family "Archaeal large subunit ribosomal RNA", at positions 1889 to 2631 of the family's 2987-position model. Lineage: Eukaryota; Metazoa; Arthropoda; Diplopoda; Polydesmida; Paradoxosomatidae. The record is from RNAcentral.
UGCCUAUUGAAUAAAAAUAAUGGGUAAUUUCUGCCCACUGCAAUUUUGUAAAGGGCUGCAGUAUUUUGACUGUAUAAAGGUAGCAUAAUCAUUAGCUUUUUAAUUGGGGGCUGGUAUGAAAGGGGAAACAUGGGAGCAGUGUGUUUAUGAAAAGAAUUGAAUUUUAUUGUUUUGUGAAAAAUCAGAAAUAAGUUUUAGGGACAAGAAGACCCUAUUUAAAUUUGAUGGUUGGUGUUAGAGAGCAUAAAGGAGGGUUGGUUUAUAAUUAAUAUUAGUGUUAUUUAAGAUUAACUAUUUUGCUGGGGCGGUAUGUUUAGAUACAAAAUUUUUAUUUUAAUGGGAUUUGUUGCGGAUAAGUGACCUGGUGUGAUCAAAUGAAUGGAAAAUUACUUUAGGGAUAACAGCGUUAUUAUUUUUGAGAGUUCAUAUCGACGAAGUAGUUUGCGACCUCGAUGUUGGAUUAGAAUUAGCGGUUGGUGCAAGAGU